This 326-nucleotide long non-coding RNA is filed under the name Mytilus galloprovincialis (Mediterranean mussel). The record is from RNAcentral. Lineage: Eukaryota; Metazoa; Mollusca; Bivalvia; Mytilida; Mytilidae.
CUAAACCACAAAAGUAAGAAUAAAUAAGAUACAUUAAUAAAGUCCUACAAAGAGCGGUAACUGUGGAAAUUAAGCAGCAAUAGCGAAUUUAUUAUAAUAGCCUAUUGUUUCGAAUGUGACAACACAAUACGACUUUACGAGGACAAAAUACAGGUUUAAAACACCCAACCCAUUUCAUGGGACCUUUAAUAACUAAUGACUCAAAAUAACCACCAAAAACUGGUCGAGGACAAACAAAAAUCUAUCACAUUUACAUCUACUGUAAACAGCUAUAUCGGCAAAUUUCUCCACACGAAGUUGCGGUACAAUAAAAUGUUCUAUAAAUU